Molecule: ribosomal RNA, 403 nt
Filed under: Verrucomicrobiota bacterium
Lineage: Bacteria; Pseudomonadati; Verrucomicrobiota
Description: Verrucomicrobia bacterium partial 16S ribosomal RNA
Rfam family: Bacterial small subunit ribosomal RNA
Source: RNAcentral
UGGGGAAUAUUGCACAAUGGGGGAAACCCUGAUGCAGCGACGCCGCGUGAGCGAAGAAGGCUUUCGAGUCGUAAAGCUCUGUCCUAUGAGAAGAUAAUGACGGUAUCAUAGGAGGAAGCCCUGGCUAAAUACGUGCCAGCAGCCGCGGUAAUACGUAUGGGGCGAGCGUUGUCCGGAAUUAUUGGGCGUAAAGGGUACGUAGGUGGUUUUUUAAGUCAGGUGUCAAAGCGUGGAGCUUAACUCCAUUAAGCACUUGAAACUGAAAGACUUGAGUGAAGGAGAGGAAAGUGGAAUUCCUAGUGUAGCGGUGAAAUGCGUAGAUAUCAUGACGAACUCCGAUUGCGAAGGCAGCUUACGGGAGUGUUACUGACGCUUAAGCUCGAAGGUGCGGGUAUCGAACAGG